Molecule: long non-coding RNA, 3318 nt
Organism: Choloepus didactylus (southern two-toed sloth)
Lineage: Eukaryota; Metazoa; Chordata; Mammalia; Pilosa; Megalonychidae
Exons: 3
Source: RefSeq, a predicted model, not a curated record
GGGAUCUCCUGCCCAGGCUCAGGCCUGCGCGCCCCUGUGCCAAGGUCCGGGGCUCCGUGCGGCUCCCGGGCGCCCGGCUCCACGCGCCCGGAGGCCAUGCAGGGCGCGGCCCCACCCGGGAGCGACACUCGAGCGCGGGAGAGCCAAGUCCCCGCGCGACCACAGAGGCGCUCCAGGCCCGGCAGGGGCAGAGGAGCUGCAGGGAGGGCGCAGGACGACCCCGAGGUCACCGACGGCCCGGAGCGCGGAACCCGGGAGGCCCUUUAGGGGAAGCGCCGGGAAGCUGGGAAACAAGUUGCUGCCCGCACGUCCUCCCUGCCCGCGGGAUCCGCGCUCCGGGCUGUGCGCCCCUCUGUCCGCCCUCCAGGCCCGGCCAUCCCCCUGUCUCUGCUCUUCUUUCCUCUCUUUCCCUUUCCUUUCCUUGCCCUUUCUUUCUCUUUCUUCCUUUCCCUCCCCCUCUGACUUUCUGUCUUCCUUCCUUCCUGUCGUUCUUUUGUUUUUCCGUCUUUUUCUGUCUAAUUCUCAGAGUGAAGGAGCACGGUCUGGUCAGUCUUGGAAGUUCGCCCAGCCACCCGCUGCCAUCACCCGUCUCUCCAUCUCUGCAGGGGCAGGGCGGAGGGGGCGGGAAGCCCCCCAGCACCCCUUUUUCUACCAAGGGCAGAGACAGGCCUGCAGAGCAGGCAGAGCAGACAGCAGGUGCAGUAUGACCCUGCCACCCCACCCCCAUGCCGUCUCCCCCCCAAAAACCCACCCACAGCCUUCUCCCUGCAGUGUGCUGAGUGCUGAGGCCUAAGGUUCCCCAAAUAGGGAUUGAUCAUCUUUGGCUUAAAAGCUUUGUCUUCUGUUUAAAUGCCUGUAAUUAACGCAGGGGAGUGGUAACACUCAGGAACUUUGGAAUGCCUCAGUCCCUCCUGGAAAGAAGGAUUUGGGAGUGGGGUGAGAGAAGACCGCCUCGGGGCCCGGGAGCUGAUGCACUAGGAUUCUGCGAAAGCCGGGUGGUCAGGUCUGGUGACAGGCCACUCCUCAACAACCCUGCCGAAACACUGGGCCCCGGAGGCACUGCUCUUUCAAAAUCUGCGCUGUAACAAAUGGAGGGGCAUUAACUGGGCUGGGAAGAUGAGCACAUCACGUUGAAGGCCGUGGGAUGGAUUUGCAAAUGCAAAUCCAGGUGCCCACUGGGGAAGUCCACAGCCUGGUGCGUACCAGUUUCUCUGGGUCAGGAAUCUGGCCACAGCUUCAUUGGGGGUCUCUGGCAAGGCUGCACCCCAGGGGUCCACCGUGGCUGAGUUCUUACCUGAGGAGCUUCAUCCAGGGAAGGAACUGCUUCCGAGCUCACGGGUGUGGUGGCUGCGCUCAGUAUUUCAAAGCUAGAGGAAUCCAGAGAGUAUUAGGCUCCAUCCUCCAUCAACGCAAACCCUCUCCUUUUGCCGGACACGGUGCCUCCCCCAGUGGGGUGGUGUGAGCAGGUCCCCGCCGCUCUCCUGGCUGCAUUGUCUUCACCAGCCUCGCCUCUCCCAGGCCCCUUCUCUCUUCGACAUGGCAUCACCCACCCCCCCGCUGCUUGCAGAGACCCCCAUUUCCUUCACUUCCCUUCCUGCCUGAGAGUGGAGACGGCUGCUCCUUCUCUGCUGUGUCUCAGACACUUAUUUCUGUACCCCAACUUCCUUCAGCUCCCCUGCUGCUCAAGGUUAUGAGAAACUAACCCAGAUAUCCUGAAUGCUUCCUGUCUUCCACCUGCCAUGUCACCUCCAGAGUCCAGGAGCAGACGCCAGCUGGAAGCUUGAAUCGGGAGAUGGAGAAGCAGAAUAAGGCAAAGGGGGAAGGAAAAUGCAGUUAAAUAUCUCAAAAAUACUGUGCCUCCACAAAUCCAAAAUCUCUGUGAAUAGUGAUUAUUCCCAUUUUUGAAGAUAGGAAAUUGAAGUUGCAAAUGGCUAAGCGACUUAUCCAAGGUGGUACAACCAGCAAGCAGCAGGGCAGAACCCACACUGAGGUGGACUCGGAUACUGACCUGUGUCUCCAAGCCAGGAACCUCAUCCUGCACUGAUGCAAUUGGUUAUCUGAAUCCUUAGUCAGAGAGCCAAGUAAAUCUUAUUUGUUGCAUUCAAUCCAGAGUAUCAGUUUAUAGAAAUCCACUUGAAAUUUGAUUCCUUCAUCAAUCUCCUUAGGAAUCUUUUCCAGUUUUCAUUAUAUGCGAAUUUUAUCAAGCUGUUCCCUAUAUUUGGGUCAUACAGGACAGGACUGACCUGAGCAAAGCCCCUGUGCAAUCCCAAAUAAGAGUCCUGCCCCCCACCGACAUGGACACUGACCUGAUAAGAGUUAGGGGGUGGGGGUAGGGGAAUAUCAGUGCCUUUUCCCCAACUGCAGCUGCCAAACUAUCACAAAGGAUGACGUAAGUUUGGAAAUUCAUAUAGUGUUUAUCAUCUCCUGAUCUACUCAUGUAGACAUUGUCAGUAUCAACCCAGAACAUGAGUUUGAGGACAGGAUUUGUCUUGAAGAGCUCCUGCUGGCUCUUCCUCAUAAACUCAUUCUUUUCCAAGUGUCUGUGCUGUAACCCAUCCUUUACAACAUCAAGGAGAAGAAUCAAAAUUGCUAGAUUCCACUUCCCAUAACUCUUCCUUCCCAAUGAGAAAAUCAGAACAAAUUACAUAUUUGAAUGUCAGCGUGACAUAUACUUAGAGCCCAGUUCUUCCAGUUGGGCAGUGAGUGUAGCCUGCUGUGAAGGCCAUGCACUGGAGGUCCUUAGGCUUUCAUGUAUAAUAAAAAUAUUUAUACCAACGUUUUUAGUGCUUCCUGUGUGCAUGGACCUUUAUUACAACAAUUGCACAUGGCCCCUCCUUUGAGCUUCACGACAACCCUGCAGUUACAGAGAUGUGGGCUAGAAGAGUUUAGGCAACCAGGAUUUAAACUCCGUUCUUCCUGAUUGCAAGACCCAAACUCUUUACCAACCAAUGGAAGGUCCGAGAGGACAGUCUGGUCAUAGGAAAGGCAAUAAAAAAGAAUGUGGAAUGAGGAAACACGAACAUAACAGGUUUUUCUGCUGUUGCGUGAUCCUGCUUUCAAAAGCACUCCAGUUACUCUCCAGAUGUGUGGGAAUCAAUGAGUGUUUCUAAGAAUCGAAGUGUGUGUGCACAUUGUUUAUGUAACCUACAGCUUCACAAAUUUGGAAACCCUCCUGAAUUAUAAAGGAAAAUCAAGUAUAGUAACUCCCUGGGAAGAAAUGAAGGAGUGAGAUCUAGGUUCAUCCAAGUCAUCAUUAAUCUCCUGGCUGUUCAUUCAUUCAGCAAGUAAACGUAACCGCGGGUGUAGGCAGCAGUGAGU